RNAcentral lists this long non-coding RNA (252 nucleotides) under Lathyrus oleraceus (garden pea). RNAcentral's name for it is "Pisum sativum (pea) long non-coding RNA (PSAT_LNC025125)". Lineage: Eukaryota; Viridiplantae; Streptophyta; Magnoliopsida; Fabales; Fabaceae. The record is from RNAcentral.
CCACUUGUCACAAGCAUGGAUCCUUGAACCAAGACAUCUUCCAAAGGAAGGAAAAAAGGCCAAGUUUCCACACAAUACCAUGAAAGAAGGGAGAAUGUAAUCAACACGAAUGGGCAACGGAGGACUUUUAUCAAAUUAAAAUCAUUCAUUCAUUUUGGGAGUUGAAAUAUACCUUUCAGCAAUCCCCUAAAUACAAUGAUUUUAACUCAACAAAGUCAAAUCAACCUUGACCAAGGCCCAACAACACAAGUC